GGUGGCUCAGUGGUAGAGUGCUUGCCUGGCAUGCAUGAAGCCCUGGGUUCGAUUCCUCAGUACCA
Molecule: transfer RNA, 65 nt
Filed under: Dipodomys ordii (Ord's kangaroo rat)
Lineage: Eukaryota; Metazoa; Chordata; Mammalia; Rodentia; Heteromyidae
Rfam family: tRNA
About the family: Transfer RNA (tRNA) molecules are approximately 80 nucleotides in length. Their secondary structure includes four short double-helical elements and three loops (D, anti-codon, and T loops). Further hydrogen bonds mediate the characteristic L-shaped molecular structure. tRNAs have two regions of fundamental functional importance: the anti-codon, which is responsible for specific mRNA codon recognition, and the 3' end, to which the tRNAs corresponding amino acid is attached (by aminoacyl-tRNA synthetases). tRNAs cope with the degeneracy of the genetic code in two manners: having more than one tRNA (with a specific anti-codon) for a particular amino acid; and 'wobble' base-pairing, i.e. permitting non-standard base-pairing at the 3rd anti-codon position.
Source: Rfam by way of RNAcentral